GCCUCGGUAGCUCAAUGGUAGAGCAGUUGACUCUUAAUCAAUUGGUUCCUGGUUCGAGUCCAGGCCGGGGCA
This 72-nucleotide transfer RNA is filed under the name Blastochloris sp. Its description in RNAcentral is "tRNA-Lys". It matches the Rfam family "tRNA". From Rfam's summary of the family: Transfer RNA (tRNA) molecules are approximately 80 nucleotides in length. Lineage: Bacteria; Pseudomonadati; Pseudomonadota; Alphaproteobacteria; Hyphomicrobiales; Blastochloridaceae. The record is from RNAcentral.